This 385-nucleotide ribosomal RNA is filed under the name uncultured eukaryote. RNAcentral describes it as "partial 18S ribosomal RNA". It matches the Rfam family "Eukaryotic small subunit ribosomal RNA", at positions 592 to 976 of the family's 1831-position model. The record is from RNAcentral.
CAAUAGCGUAUAUUAAAGUUGUUGCAGUUAAAAAGCUCGUAGUUGGACUUCUGCGGGUGGCGGCCGGUCGUGCCCUUUUGUGGCGUGAACUUGGCUCUUUGCCGCCCGCAUCUUUGGGGAGAUUGUGCGUGGCAUUAGGUUGUCGUGCAUGGGAUUCUCAUCAUUUACUGUGAAAAAAUUAGAGUGUUUAAAGCAGGCCUUUGCCUUGAAUACAUUAGCAUGGAAUAAUAAGAUAGGACCGUUGUCUAUUUUGUUGGUUUACAGAUGUCGGUAAUGAUUAAUAGGGAUAGUUGGGGGUAUUCGUAUUCAGUUGUCAGAGGUGAAAUUCUUGGAUUUUCGGAAGACGCACGACUGCGAAAGCAUUUACCAAGGAUGUUUNCAUUAA